RNAcentral lists this transfer RNA (74 nucleotides) under Chitinispirillales bacterium. RNAcentral describes it as "tRNA-Arg". It matches the Rfam family "tRNA". From Rfam's summary of the family: Transfer RNA (tRNA) molecules are approximately 80 nucleotides in length. Their secondary structure includes four short double-helical elements and three loops (D, anti-codon, and T loops). The record is from RNAcentral. Lineage: Bacteria; Pseudomonadati; Fibrobacterota; Chitinispirillia; Chitinispirillales.
GCCCCCAUAGCUCAGUUGGAUAGAGCAUCUGCCUUCUAAGCAGAGGGUCACUGGUUCGAAUCCAGUUGGGGGUG